CCUACGGGAGGCAGCAGUGGGGAAUAUUGCGCAAUGGGCGAAAGCCUGACGCAGCGACGCCGCGUGAGGGAUGAAGGUCUUCGGAUCGUAAACCUCUGUCAGCAGGGAAGAACGGUCACUGUGCUAAUCAGCAGUGAAUUGACGGUACCUGCAAAGGAAGCACCGGCUAACUCCGGGCCAGCAGCCGCGGUAAUACGGAGGGUGCGAGCGUUAAUCGGAAUUACUGGGCGUAAAGCGCUCGUAGGCGGUAUGUCAAGUCAAGGGGGAAAUCCCCGCGCUCAACGUGGGAACUGCCUUUGAAACUGGCAAACUGGAGUGUGUGAGAGGAUAGUGGAAUUCCAGGGGUAGGAGUGAAAUCCGUAGAUAUCUGGAGGAACAUCAGUGGCGAAGGCGACUAUCUGGCACAUAACUGACGCUGAGGAGCGAAAGCGUGGGUAGCAAACAGGAUUAGAUACCCCAGUAGUC
Molecule: ribosomal RNA, 465 nt
Filed under: uncultured bacterium
Lineage: Bacteria
Description: partial 16S ribosomal RNA
Rfam family: Bacterial small subunit ribosomal RNA
Source: RNAcentral